RNAcentral lists this unclassified non-coding RNA (222 nucleotides) under plant metagenome. RNAcentral's name for it is "partial contains small subunit ribosomal RNA, internal transcribed spacer 1, and 5.8S ribosomal RNA". The record is from RNAcentral.
UUUCCGUAGGUGAACCUGCGGAAGGAUCAUUAAAGAGAAUAUGCCCUUCGGGGUAGUUCUCCCACCCUUUGUUUAUAUUACCUUUGUUGCUUUGGCAGGCCCGUCUUCGGACCACCGGCUUCGGCUGGUCAGUGCUUGCCAGAGGACCCAAACUCUUAUUAUUAAUGUCGUCUGAGUACUAUAUAAUAGUUAAAACUUUCAACAACGGAUCUCUUGGUUCUG